RNAcentral lists this ribosomal RNA (504 nucleotides) under uncultured Desulfobulbus sp. Its description in RNAcentral is "bacterial SSU rRNA". It matches the Rfam family "Bacterial small subunit ribosomal RNA", at positions 903 to 1382 of the family's 1533-position model. Lineage: Bacteria; Pseudomonadati; Thermodesulfobacteriota; Desulfobulbia; Desulfobulbales; Desulfobulbaceae. The record is from RNAcentral.
AGCCCGCUCAGAAACUACAAAUGAAGUUGACGGGGGCCCGCACAAGCGGUGGAGCAUGUGGUUUAAUUCGAUGCAACGCGAAGAACCUUACCUGGUCUUGACAUCCCGGAGACCCUUAGGAAACUAGGGGGUGCUUCCAUCUGGAAGAAUCUGGAGACAGGUGCUGCAUGGCUGUCGUCAGCUCGUGUCGUGAGAUGUUGGGUUAAGUCCCGCAACGAGCGCAACCCUUGCCUUUAGUUGCCAGCAGUUCGGCUGGGCACUCUAAAGGGACUGCCGGUGUUAAACCGGAGGAAGGUGGGGAUGACGUCAAGUCCUCAUGGCCUUUAUGACCAGGGCUACACACGUACUACAAUGGCCGAUACAAAGGGCAGCGACACUGCGAGGUGAAGCCAAUCCCGUAAAAUCGGUCUCAGUCCGGAUUGGAGUCUGCAACUCGACUCCAUGAAGUUGGAAUCGCUAGUAAUCGUGGAUCAGCAUGCCACGGUGAAUACGUUCCCGGGCCUU